RNAcentral lists this ribosomal RNA (253 nucleotides) under uncultured bacterium. RNAcentral describes it as "partial 16S ribosomal RNA". It matches the Rfam family "Bacterial small subunit ribosomal RNA", at positions 524 to 776 of the family's 1533-position model. The record is from RNAcentral.
UACGAAGGGGGCUAGCGUUGCUCGGAAUUACUGGGCGUAAAGGGAGCGUAGGCGGAUAGUUUAGUCAGAGGUGAAAGCCCAGGGCUCAACCUUGGAACUGCCUUUGAUACUGGCUAUCUUGAGUAUGGGAGAGGUGAGUGGAACUCCGAGUGUAGAGGUGAAAUUCGUAGAUAUUCGCAAGAACACCAGUGGCGAAGGCGGCUCACUGGCCCGGUACUGACGCUGAGGUGCGAAAGCGUGGGGAGCAAACAGG